This 279-nucleotide ribosomal RNA is filed under the name uncultured bacterium. Its description in RNAcentral is "partial 16S ribosomal RNA". It matches the Rfam family "Bacterial small subunit ribosomal RNA", at positions 506 to 784 of the family's 1533-position model. The record is from RNAcentral.
UGCCAGCAGCCGCGGUAAUACGGAGGGUGCAAGCGUUGUUCGGAAUCAUUGGGCGUAAAGCGGGUGUAGGCGGCUUGGCAAGUCGGUUGUGAAAUCCCUGGGCCUAACCCAGGAACUGCAGCCGAAACUGCCUCGCUAGAGUCUCGGAGAGGGUGGCGGAAUUCCCGGUGUAGAGGUGAAAUUCGUAGAUAUCGGGAGGAACACCAGUGGCGAAGGCGGCCACCUGGACGAUGACUGACGCUGAGACCCGAAAGUGUGGGGAGCAAACAGGAUUAGAUA